RNAcentral lists this long non-coding RNA (3815 nucleotides) under Sus scrofa (pig). Its description in RNAcentral is "lncRNA (ENSSSCG00180034102.1)". Lineage: Eukaryota; Metazoa; Chordata; Mammalia; Artiodactyla; Suidae. The record is from RNAcentral.
UUUUUUUUUUUUUUUUUUGCCACCCCACCCCAUAUGGAGUUCCUGGGCUAAAGAUCAGAUCUGAGCCACAGUUACAACGUGCAACGCUGAUCUGGGUUGGGGAUCAAACCUGCGUCCCAGUGAAUUUGGCUAUUAUGAAUAAUGCUUCUAUGAAUAUUUUCACAUAACGAUCUGCCAGUAUCAUACUGUCUUAAUUACUGUAGCUUUGUAGGAAGUUUUUGAAUUGGGAAGUGUAAGCCCUCAAACUUGUACUUUUUCAAGAUUGUUUUGACUAUUCUGAGUCCUUUGCAUUUGCAGAUGAAUCUUAGGACCACUUUGUUCAUUUCUGCUACAAAGGAUGGUGCAAUUUUUUUUUUUUUGGUCUUUUUAGGGCCUCACCCAUGGCAUAUGGAGGUUCCCAGGCUAGGGGUCGAAUGAGAGCUGUAGCCUCUGGCCUACACCAUAGCCAUAGCAACUUGGGAUCCGAGCUGCAUCUGUGACCUACACCGCAGUUCACGGCAAUGCAGGAUCCUUAACCCACUGAGCGAGGCCAGGGAUCCAACCCUCAACCUCAUGGAUUCUAGUCGGGUUCACGGCAAUGCAGGAUCCUUAACCCACUGAGCGAGGCCAGGGAUCCAACCCUCAACCUCAUGGAUUCUAGUCGGGUUCGUUACUGCUGAGCCACAACCGGAACUCCCUGACAUGUAAGGACUAAGAUGGGAAGAGAGAGUAGGAGCUUGAUAGGAAAAGGGGUAGAGAAGGGGAAAGAUGUGGGCAGAGGAAGGAGACCUGGGAAAACCUAGAGUGAAACAAAGCAAAGCACAGCAUAUUCAAGGAACUGAAAAAAGCAGAAAUGAGGUUGGAAAGGCCGGCGCGGGCAGGAUGGACUCAGUGGGGUCGGGGGGACUGGCCUUUAUCUGGAAGCCCUGGAAGGACGGUGGGGAGGCCUGUGGGGGGUGGGCUUCCUCAGGUUCCCUGACCAGAAGAGGCCACCAGACAGAAGGGAUGGAGGACACUGUUGUGUGAACUUGAGAAACAGUGGCAACUUGGACUUGGGUACUGGGGACACUGGGGACGGAGUGAAGUGGACUAUGUGUUUGGAAGAAAUCUGGAGGACAGACUUAACAGCGCUUGGUGUCGGGGAAGGGGAGGGAAGGGGAGGAUACCAUGGAUAAUCUUCCAACUUGGUGGAUGGAGAGGCCCUUUGCAGGAUAAAAAAAUGAAACCAGCCUUCUCACUCUGACCAGUGCAGCCCUGUCACCUUGGAAACAACUUCCAUUUCUUCCUCUGUGAGGAAAAACUUGAGAACUGUCCAGGGGUGUCCCUGUCCCCGAGGUGGCCCAGCACCUGACGCUGAGGAAUUGAAGCUCCAGUGCCCUGGCCUCCCCCUCCAGACUCUUCUCCUCCCUUCCCCAGAUCCGACCUCUCCCUUCUUCUAAUUAUGCCCCAAGUUAUCUUUUAAGGUUCUGUACAUGACAUGGGGUGGGCUCCCAAGUUAGAAGAACCAACUGGACAGCCACUGAUUAUCUCAAUAGUUGAGCUCCCUCCAACCCAAAGGCACAACCACUUACCUCUCCCUCUAGGGCCCCCGGUUCUCAAGGCCCCAAAUCUUGCUUUGUGUCAUGAAGACUUUUUCCCUUGGGGGAGGAGUGGGGGUUUGAUCAGACAAGAGCCUGUGUAUCAGCCCACUGCAUUUUAGUCGAGAUAUGGAUCUGGGCAGCUGUUCAGUGAAUAAGCCAGCAGCCUGAGAUGGGAUGGCAUGGUUCAUCUUACCGGGUCACCCUGCCCAGACACAAGGCGCUGGGGGGCAGGGGGGCGGGCACGGAAAGAUGGCAGAGCCAAAAGAAAAGCUUCUAGAUUAAACAGAGAUCAAAAUCCCAGCACAACAAAGGGACAUCUCUGCGGUCAACCUCCUAGUGUUCUCUGCCUACAGUACUGGGUCAGCGUCAGCAGGGAGCCCACAGCCACCCGGGCACCUCCACAACAUGGACCCCAUUCUGUGCAGGGGCUGGUGCUGGCCACGUUGGUGGUAACAUGCGCUCUCUUAAGCACUGGAUGCAUCCGACUACAUGGGAACCUCACCACCUCCUGUAAAGAGUGCGGGGGGGUGCUAUUUGCCCAUGUUCCACACUAGGAAGUGUGCAAGUCUGCACAAGCAUCACUGGACUCUGUCCACCUGGGAAAGGCCUGCAAUACCACAGCCUGGUGCAUUCCCAGGUAGAGUCCAUCCUGCUGGGCCGUUCAGCAGAGGCUUCUCUUUAGGCCCACUGUCCUCCAGGACAUACCUCCUGAGCCCCUGCCAUCCUGGGUCUGUCUCCUCACCCACAGCACCGCCAGGCUGCACCCACACCCCCAACCCUAGAAUGAGGGAGCCACUUGUGGGCAUCACUUUGCCCUGAUCUCAUUUUGUCACCUCCUCCAUAGCUCAAGGGGAACGACAAAUCACAGGGUUUUCAAAAAAUAUGGCCUUUUAUUGUCUUGGAUGCAAAUAUAGUUUUCAAACUGCAUUGUAGUGUUGAAUACAGCUGGUGGAAAGGUGCUUCUCAACAGCGGAGCAUAAACGGCCUUGCUCUGGAUGGCGCAGGCCUGAGGCUUGGGGCCUCCGGUGAGCAAGACUCUUCUUGGGUUUUGUUUUUCUGCCCACGAGGGGUGACUGUUUGCUACAGAAGCCCUGACACAGUCACCGGAGCUCACAAGAGAAAAAAAUGAACCAUUUACACAAUGAACUGAAAGCAGAAAAAGGAAAAGAACGUGCUGUUUCAGCUGUGGCGUUACAGAAGAAGCCCACAAACACGAGUGUGAACAGAUUCAGAUAAAGCAGCAGCAAGGGCGCCGAGGGAGGGGCCUCGUGCCAGUUCCCUCGGGGACACACAGCCUCGGCUCCAUGUCUCCUACCUUUUAACUGCAGGAAGGAAACUUUAUGGAAAUGUAUCGAACUUCAGUUUCUCCCAACCCUCUCCACCACCUCAACUCUUGAGGAUGGCACCUCUCUGUUCACAUACCCAGGAGAGAAUUCUUCCAAUUAGCGACACCCAGGGUUGACUCUGGAACCAAAAGGUUGACUGGGAGAUAAAAGCGAAUUUUGCUACAUAAUUGUCAAGGUAUUUCACAAAAAUAAAAUCCAUUAAAAACACCCACAAACACGCACACACACACACACACACAGAGCCAACAUUCAACAGGAAAAGUUCCCUUUUCUUUCUCAAAGGCUGAUUUUUACAAGCCUCGACAGGAACGGCCCCCACGUGGUGAGCUGGGAAAGCCAAGGCCUCAGAAGGGAAAGACAAUGGGGCAGGUGAUGGAGGGGGUGUGGGCGCAGCUGGGGGUUCUGGGGCCUGUCUCUGCUCCCAGAGCCCCUCCGCUCCCCAAACCUGCCUGCCCAGCAGGUCAAGGUGAUGGAAACCACGGAAACACGCGUGUUGAAGGUCCAAACUCCUCUACCCCUGCUCUCCUCUCCUGCUGUCUAUGUUCAGAUGUGGUGAAAAUCUUUAAUAUACAAGGCAUCAGGGACAUCGAGCCAAAAACCAUGGCCCACCACUGCUGCGCACCCACCUCAGGGCUCGCCAGCUCCCUUCCUCGUUGUCAAGGCCACUGCAGAGGAAGCACUUUGCAAAGUGGCUCCGACAAGCAGCAGACCGGGCGGGUUUCACCUGCAGCAAAUCAAUCAGCGGAAGCAAGGCAUCUCUAGGGAAAGGCAAUUCCUCCACCAGAGAGAGGAGAGCAGCUAUACUCAGCUUAGUUAGGGGCCUGGGGCCGUGAGAGAGACAAAAGACGCAGGCAGAGCUAGAUGACCAUGGGAGGGGAAGAGCAUAGGGGUGCUGUGCCAAGGCUGCCCA